Pelobates cultripes (western spadefoot toad) is the source of this 289-nucleotide non-coding RNA. The record is from the annotation of a GenBank genome assembly. Lineage: Eukaryota; Metazoa; Chordata; Amphibia; Anura; Pelobatidae.
GUUUAUUCACAGAAAGGGACAAAUACUGCUGAGAUGCUGCCACCAACAUUAAUAACAUAGAAUUACUUAGAUCACAUACCUAACCUGCUAAACACAUUAUUUGUUGUGUGGCUAUUUGUGUUAGGGAGCAAGUGUCCACUGAGUAUAUUUUAAUCAGUAAAUGUAUACUUGCUUGUCAGAUUAAUGACUCAGUCUGUCUUUUGCUAUCAUAGUUUAAAAAAUGCUGUACCAGCUCUUCCCCUCUUGAUACUAUUGUGACAUGUUAACGACGACUAAUUUGUCAUAUGAG